This 929-nucleotide long non-coding RNA is filed under the name Phasianus colchicus (ring-necked pheasant). RNAcentral's name for it is "lncRNA (ENSPCLG00000022358.1)". The record is from RNAcentral. Lineage: Eukaryota; Metazoa; Chordata; Aves; Galliformes; Phasianidae.
ACUACAUGGAAGAUAAGCGGAGAAAAGCAAACUACAAGUGUUCUGAUACGUAUCUAUACAAUGGAGUGGAUGUAUUCUGAAGUCUGUGAAACUGAACACACCAAUAAGUGCAGAAGUCCUGCUUUUGGAAGAAAACAUUAACUGUGCAAUACAGAAAUGCCCAAAAGUGUGGUGAAUUGAGAAGAAUUGUUGCCACAAUCCUUAAAGGAAAUCGACAGCGGAGAGAGGAUUCUUUAACAAGACUCUUAAAAGCUGCAGCAAAACAUCGUUUGAAUUCAGCAAGUGCAACAGCAGACCUGCAAACAGUACCUGGAUGGUUUGCUUUUUUUUUCACUUCUGGGUAAUAAAUCUUCUGCUUCCCUUUUACACUGUUUAAUGGGUGUCACGUCAAAAAGGUGAAUUUAACCUGAUAAAUCAAGAUAAUAGGAGAAGGAUUCUGGAAGCAUUGUUGGAGGUUAUGAGAUCCAGCCGCAGUUAAUUUGAGAAUUAAUUAACUGAAAGAAGCUUCCAGGCUGUGCUCCAGGACCCUGAGCGAGGCUUAGUUUUCAAUCAAAGCUUUCAGAGGAAGAGAUUAUGUGAAAGAAGCACUGCCACAUCCACCAAGUGCUGCUUCAUCUGACUCCUGUCUCAAGGGAACGCUUGUCAGUGUUAAAGCCUUUAUUCUGCUUCAAAACAAGUAGCAAGUUUAAAUAUUAUUAUUUGCAUACCUGCUGUCAGAAGUUCAACAGCUAUGCAGAACCGUGCAACCUUUUCUACCAAAGAACCUAGGCGAAGACAACAAUUUUCCCUCUUCUCAAUAAGGUUUCUCAGCCUCAGACCCACAGCUCUUUAGAGAUCAGCUCACAGGUACGCGCUAGCCGUCGGUAGGCAGGAGAAGCGGGGUACAUCGCUUUCACACAGAGCCAGCAGUUACCUCAGGAGCUGCAAAG